This 3205-nucleotide long non-coding RNA is filed under the name Mytilus galloprovincialis (Mediterranean mussel). Lineage: Eukaryota; Metazoa; Mollusca; Bivalvia; Mytilida; Mytilidae. The record is from RNAcentral.
UUGUAAGGUUUAUCUCACCUUGACCUCAUUUUUAUGAUUCAUUGGUUAGCAAUUUUCUAAGUAAGGUUUGUUUCUUGGAUACUAUAAGCAAUAAUAGGCUGUUUGGUUUACAGUAUGAUUUUAUGGUGUCCGUCUUUAGUUUUCCUUCAAUAUUUAGUUUUUUUCUUUGGGUUUCUUUUUUUGCAAGCAAGUGCAUGGUUGAAUGAAAAGUAGCUAUGCAAUUGUAAUAAGACCAGUUCUGUUAACAAAAAAGUAUUGAAUACCAUUGAUAACAAAUAUCUUUAUUACAAAUAGAGUUUAGUACUAAGUAACAUGUAUAAAUAAAAUUCAUACUUCACAACUCUCAACAUACAUAAAAUAUAAUUAUCAUAUUCAAUGAGCCUAAUAAUGAAAUAUUUUUCAAAAUAAAAAUGAAGUCAGUAUAAAUUCUGGUCUGAAUAAUUUGAAUCCACCUUACUUGCAGUGUUUUAUCAAAGCCUGGAUUGAGCUUACCGUUGUACAUUGUACGUACGAAAGACUAAAAUUUUUAAUUUGUUUUUUUAAUUAGUAUGUUGAUAAAGAGAUAUUUACUUUAAAUAUUUGAGUAAUAGAAUUCUAUGUCUUUUAAAUCAAAACAUCAAAAAAUUACAACAUCAAUGCCAUAAUUGUCUUAUGUACCAGAAAUGGAGAGAAAAAAAUCCUUUCAAAAUGCAAAAUGUAACAAUUUUUAAUGAUUUGUUUCUUUUAGAAUCAUUGGAAAAUGAAAAGGUUACAUGUUUUUACAUAUUUGACUUUACAACAUAGAAGAAAUCUUAUAUUAGUUUUUGCUUUGAAAAUUCUCAUUUUACAAUUAUUUAGCAAAAGUUCUUUUUUGGAAAAUCUUUAUAACUGAAACAAAGAGAAAAAUUCAAGUGUUGCCACUUAAUUUUCGUUAAUAUUUUAGGGAACAAUUAAAUGAAAAACAUGAUCUAUGCUCAGAAAUGUUAUUGGAUAGUAAAAAGUAAACCCAUUUUUGUCCUCUUUCAUAAAAACAUGUUUAAGUAAUCAUUGAAAUUCCUUCCAAAAAAUGUUGAACAAUAUAUCUGUAAAAAAAUAAUAAAGUCUAGAUUGUUAGUAAGAUUAAUAACAAAACUAAGCAAAAAUCAACAACAAAAAUAAAGAAUACACUUUAAACAAGAAAUAAACUUUAAAUAACAAAACAGAACCAAAAUCAAAUGCAAAUUGUUAACUCACACAACCUAAUGUUACCUAUGUAAAUGAAACUAGCAACUACCAUAUAAGUCUAAGCUAUUACCUAGACUAAAUAUGUAUUACAAGAGACUGAAUGACAGAAGAAUUAUAACCUAAUGUUACCUAUGUAAAUGAAACUAGCAACUACCAUAUAAGUCUAAGUUAUUACCUAGACUUAAAAUAUGCAUUACAAGAGACUGAAGGCAGCAGUCCUUUUGCGCCAAUUACUGUUUUUCAGGGGUAUCAUUUGCGCCAAAUUUUAUUUUCAAAAUGUAUCAAUUGCGCCAAUAUUCGGAACUCAUUUGCGCCAAUUUACCUGUACAUAUAUCUAUCAUAAAUAUUACUGAAUACUAUAUAUGUAUUCUUAUUUUUGCCCCAAAAGGUAUCACAUGUUAGAAGAUAUUUCACCAUAAAGACGAGUUUCUGAAGAGAAUUAAAUGACUUAAGCAGCAUAAGACAGUCAAUGUACAGAGAGAGAAUAAAACUUAUUGCUUUGCUUAACAAAGAUAUGCCAAUAUAGAAAAUAGAAGUUUUUGCUCUUUAUGUUUUAGCCACAAAUGUUGAUGACACAGAGCUUUGUUCCCACCAUGCGUAUGGGCUUUAUUAUUAUUAUGAACUAUUAUUACCUAUUUUAUGGAUUUCAUCCUUCAAUGUUUGUGUUUUUUGACAAUAAAAAGAAGUUGAAAGCUACUACAUACAUUAAAUUGGGAAGUACCCAUGCAGCAGCAGUAAUAAAAACAUAUGUUUCAGAAAAGGAAACAUGUGCCGUGUUACACUGUCGGUUCCAAGUCCAAAUAAAGGAGUAAGGAAGUAAUUUUUUUUUAACUGGCGCAAUCGUAUGUUUUAUUUUUGGCGCAAAUGAAACCAUCUAAUUUUAAAACAUGUGGCGCAAACGUAGCAUCUGAGAAAAAAAGUUGUGGCGCAAAAGGACGCAUUUUUGGCGCAAACGGAUCUCUCCCAGACUGAAUGACAGAAGAAUUAUAACAAUUUUCAUAAUUCAGCAAAAAUAUCUCGCCAAACAUCUUUUUCGUUAAAUGCAAUUACAUUCUUCUAACAUUUUGUAAAAGGAUAAUUGAAAUUUUCAUGAAAAAUGAGCAAAAACAUUUUCACAACCAUUUUACUUUAUCAUUUCAUGUGAUAACUACUGGCGUAAACAUCUACAUAACCAAAACACAUUCUACGACAGCAAAGCUUAUAUGCCCAUCUUUAGACUUUACUCACAGAUGUUCAAUAUUUUCAUCGAGUUAUCAAUUUAUCACUUUUUACCUGUAUACUUGAUUAGGAUGCACCUAAAUUUAAAUAAUUAACAUUUUCACUAGACCUGAUCAGAUAAAAUUAAUGAAGUAAGAAAUCCAAAUAAUCAUACAUUUAUCCAAUGUACAUGAUAGGCCCUAUUGAAGUAUUGCACACAAACUAUGAUUAAUAAAUGUUCAUGAAACUGAAGAAAUAUGAUUUAAAUUUGACAGUUAAUGCCCCUUAAAUGGUUGAGAUUGGCCUAUUGAAUUUAGUGAAUAUUCAAAGGUCAACUGGUACCAAGUGAUGACAAUAACUUACAUAUACCUUUGGUAAAAGGUAAACUGAAAAAGAUAUUUCAUACCCUUAGAAAAUCUAGUAAGUAAAUCAAUGUAUAAAAAGCGCAUUCCAUAUAUACCACAUAACUUUCAUAAAUAUUUCAAAAUAUGUAUAAUAAUUGUCUAACAUUGUCUAGUGUGUUUUCAAAAAUUUAGUUCAAUUUUUCCAAAACUUCUCAAAGGAAAAAACAAUGAAACACGGAUUUAAAUAAAAAAAGAAGAAGAAAGAACUGAAUUGAAAAGAAAAAUAAUAAGUAUAUUUCAUGAUAUAAAUCAUACUCAAUGCAUAACUAACCUUGCAAAAAGGCCAGGUGUAUUUCAUUUGGUCAACAUAAUAUUUUUUCCAUAUAGAUAAGAAAUGUUUUGUCUAUGUAUAAAAGAAACAUUAAAACAGGUAUAUUUACUGAUAUUCUAAACAUGUCAGU